This 609-nucleotide ribosomal RNA is filed under the name Anarrhinum bellidifolium. RNAcentral describes it as "eukaryotic LSU rRNA". The stretch from base 232 to 387 matches the Rfam family "5.8S ribosomal RNA". Lineage: Eukaryota; Viridiplantae; Streptophyta; Magnoliopsida; Lamiales; Plantaginaceae. The record is from RNAcentral.
UCGGAAACUGCAAAGCAGACCCGCGAACGUGUGUUUAACCAACGGGGGGCGCCGAGGCGAGGGCGACCGAGCCUCGUCCCCCCCGCUCGCCCGUGCGACGCUCGCGUCGUUCGGGCCAACGAACCCCGGCGCGGCACGCGCCAAGGAAAACGAAAUAAGAAGCGUCCGUCCCCUGCUGCCCCGUUCGCGGGUGCCUGCGGGGGAACGCGACCUCUCUUGAAAUGUCAAAACGACUCUCGGCAACGGAUAUCUCGGCUCUCGCAUCGAUGAAGAACGUAGCGAAAUGCGAUACUUGGUGUGAAUUGCAGAAUCCCGUGAACCAUCGAGUCUUUGAACGCAAGUUGCGCCCGAAGCCAUUAGGCCGAGGGCACGUCUGCCUGGGCGUCACGCAUCGCGUCGCCCCCUCCCCAUCCCCUCGGGGAACGGCGGGACGGGGGCGGAGAUUGGCCUCCCGUGAGCGCGAGCUCGCGGCCGGCCCAAAUUCGAUCCCGCGUCGACGGAUGUCACGACCAGUGGUGGUUGGAAUAUCAACUCGCGUGCUGUCGUGCGCGUCUCCGUCGUUCGUCGGGCAUCGUCUGAGACCCAACGGCGCCUAACGGCUCCUUCGAC